This 467-nucleotide ribosomal RNA is filed under the name uncultured microorganism. RNAcentral describes it as "bacterial SSU rRNA". It matches the Rfam family "Bacterial small subunit ribosomal RNA", at positions 9 to 524 of the family's 1533-position model. The record is from RNAcentral.
GAGUUUGAUCCUGGCUCAGAGCGAACGCUGGCGGCAGGCCUAACACAUGCAAGUCGAACGAACUCUUCGGAGUUAGUGGCGGACGGGUGAGUAACACGUGGGAACGUGCCUUUUGGUUCGGAAUAACUCAGGGAAACUUGUGCUAAUACCGAAUGUGCCCUUCGGGGGAAAGAUUUAUCGCCAUUAGAGCGGCCCGCGUCUGAUUAGCUAGUUGGUGAGGUAAAGGCUCACCAAGGCGACGAUCAGUAGCUGGUCUGAGAGGAUGAUCAGCCACAUUGGGACUGAGACACGGCCCAAACUCCUACGGGAGGCAGCAGUGGGAAUCUUGCGCAAUGGCGAAAGCCUGACGCAGCCAUGCCGCGUGAAUGAUGAAGGUCUUAGGAUUGUAAAAUUCUUUCACCGGGGACGAUAGUGACGGUACCCGGAGAAGAAGCCCCGGCUAACUUCGUGCCAGCAGCCGCCGUAAU